UGUGCCGUUUUUAAUUCAUGUCUCAAAAAUUACAAACGGCACACAACGCGGCAACAAACGUAAACAUGAACAUUACGUUAACACAUCCUCAUCCUUCCAGUGUGGAAGCUAGGCUAGCUAACAGAAGCAAAGUCAACAAACGAUACCUUCCAAGUCCAAGACAGUUUCUUUCAAACCUGUUCCUGUUAAGGAAUAAAGCACCAAGGAUUUCUUUAGAUGACCCAUGCAACCAACUAUUACAUACCGUAAUUGUGUCUACAGUGGAGUGAAUGAAGAGAGAAGCAAUGUUAUGAAAAUAGCGAGCGCGAGCAUCACUGACUGUGGCUUCAUUGUUUCGCUUCUCCAGCUUCUUCAAGACGUCCUCUGUAGAAACCUCUGAAAAAAAGAGCAAAGUUAUCUAUCAGUUUGUUAUUAAGCAUGACAGAGCCUAAGCAUGUUUUAACUUCUUUCAGUAAAACACUUUAUCUAA
Thunnus maccoyii (southern bluefin tuna) is the source of this 469-nucleotide long non-coding RNA. RefSeq lists it as uncharacterized. The record is from RefSeq and is a predicted model, not a curated record. The transcript has 3 exons. Lineage: Eukaryota; Metazoa; Chordata; Actinopteri; Scombriformes; Scombridae.